AUUGAACGCUGGCGGCAUGCCUUACACAUGCCAGUCGAACGGCAGCACGGGUGCUUGCCCCUGGUGGCGAGUGGCGAACGGGUGAGUAAUACAUCGGAACAUGUCCUGUAGUGGGGGAUAGCCCGGCGAAAGCCGGAUUAAUACCGCAUACGAUCUACGGAUGAAAGCGGGGGACCUUCGGGCCUCGCGCUAUAGGGUUGGCCGAUGGCUGAUUAGCUAGUUGGUGGGGUAAAGGCCUACCAAGGCGACGAUCAGUAGCUGGUCUGAGAGGACGACCAGCCACACUGGGACUGAGACACGGCCCAGACUCCUACGGGAGGCAGCAGUGGGGAAUUUUGCACAAUGGGCGAAAGCCUGAUCCAGCAAUGCCGCGUGUGUGAAGAAGGCCUUCGGGUUGUAAAGCACUUUUGUCCGGAAAGAAAUCCUUGGCCCUAAUACGGUCGGGGGAUGACGGUACCGGAAGAAUAAGCACCGGCUAACUACGUG
Molecule: ribosomal RNA, 486 nt
Filed under: uncultured bacterium
Lineage: Bacteria
Description: partial 16S ribosomal RNA
Rfam family: Bacterial small subunit ribosomal RNA
Source: RNAcentral